GAUCUGAAACAUCCAUCAGUGAUCAUUCGACUCGAGAAACGCUUACAGAACAAGAAGUUCCAUUUAAUUUGUUUGCCUUACUGGAGCCGGGAAUUCAGAAGAUGGCCGGUUAUCUUGGUAUUCUACUGAUUGCAGUCAUUUUGACGGGCAGUGUUCUGAGGGAAACCCAAGCGGUUUGCUGCCAUCCCAUUUUAAACGGAGGAGGGUACUGCAAGGAUUGUACAAAAAAAGCUCCAUAUUGUUCAGACGGGGAAUGUAAUUCAUUCGGCUGUAAUUGCAAGGGUGGCUGUCGAAAAGACUGCGGCUAUCGAAUCCAACAUUACACCAAGAUGUUUGAUCAGGGUUUUAUCGGAUGGGUUACUCAAUGCUAUUGCACUAAUGGAAGAUCCGUGGAAGAUGUUCACAGAACUUAAGAUGUUGAUGCAGCGGAUAUGGUAAUAAACCACAGGGUUAUUUGCUAUUGGGACGCGAAGAAUGGGCUGAGAGAGAGAGAGAGAGAGGAGGAGGAAUGCAUUCAUAUGUGUCUGAUUUAAUAUUGACGUUGAAAUGAAAAAAACGUCAUUCUUUAAUUAAACGGAAUUGC
Molecule: long non-coding RNA, 583 nt
Organism: Lingula anatina
Lineage: Eukaryota; Metazoa; Brachiopoda; Lingulata; Lingulida; Lingulidae
Source: RefSeq, a predicted model, not a curated record